CAGACGAGUCAUUUACAAUGCAAAGGGGUUUCCUGCCUUUGUUCACUCCCAAGCAUGGAUUGUAGUCCAUGACCAUUGACAUGUACUUUGCAAUUUCCAUGCAAUGACGAUGCUCAUAAACUUUAGGGUUACCAAAAAUUGGUAAUAUAUCGAUUGUCUUCUUUUCUAAACAAGGGUUAACCAGAGGUACUUGCUAGACUAUUUUGCACUCAGGAGAAUGACUUCUUUAAUAUAUUCAAGUUGCAAAGAUGAUCAUUCAAAAUAACGGGAA
RNAcentral lists this long non-coding RNA (271 nucleotides) under Elaeis guineensis (African oil palm). RNAcentral's name for it is "long non-coding RNA (EGUI_LNC000497)". Lineage: Eukaryota; Viridiplantae; Streptophyta; Magnoliopsida; Arecales; Arecaceae. The record is from RNAcentral.